This 72-nucleotide transfer RNA is filed under the name Methanofollis sp. W23. RNAcentral describes it as "tRNA-Ala". It matches the Rfam family "tRNA". From Rfam's summary of the family: Transfer RNA (tRNA) molecules are approximately 80 nucleotides in length. Their secondary structure includes four short double-helical elements and three loops (D, anti-codon, and T loops). The record is from RNAcentral. Lineage: Archaea; Methanobacteriati; Methanobacteriota; Methanomicrobia; Methanomicrobiales; Methanomicrobiaceae.
GGGCUCGUAGAUCAGGGGAAGAUCGCGUCGUUCGCAACGACGAGGCCGCGGGUUCAAAUCCCGCCGGGUCCA